AUAUCAGUCAUGCAUAGCAUAUCAAUAAGCGGAGGAAAAGAAACUAACAAGGAUUCCCUUAGUAACGGCGAGUGAAGCGGGAAGAGCUCAAAUUUGAAAUCUUCAAGGUUUUACCUUGACGAAUUGUAGUUUAAAGAAGUGUUUUCUGUUGAAGUUUUGGUAAAAGUUCUUUGGAAUAGGACAUCAUAGAGGGUGAGAAUCCCGUAUUUGACCAUUACUUUCAGCUUUGUGAUACACUUUCAAAGAGUCGGAUUGUUUGGGAAUGCAGUCCAAAAUGGGUGGUAAAUUUCAUCUAAAGCUAAAUAUUGGCGAGAGACCGAUAGCGAACAAGUACCGUGAGGGAAAGAUGAAAAGAACUUUGAAAAGAGAGUUAAACAGUACGUGAAAUUGUCAAAAGGGAAGCGUUUGACACCAGUGUUGUUUUCUCGAAAAUCAAUUAAAAAGAGUUGGAUUUUGUGUUGUAUUGACUUUAUCAGCUUUCUUCACUCUUUUCCAGCUUUUUUUAAUGCACUUUUCGUUUAACAAGUCAACAUCAGUUUCUUUUGUUGUAAAAAGGUCAUUGGAAGGUGGCUUUCUCUUCGGAGAAAGUGUUUAUAGCCUUUGACUCAUGCAAUCGGAGAGACUGAGGUCUGCAGCGUAGAUCCCUCGGGGUUAGAUACAUUUGUGCUAAGUUAUAGCUUUUCAUAGACAACUUGUUGACUAUGUUUAGUCUUGUAGCUUACUCGCUUAUGCUAUUUUACCUACGCUUAGGAUGUUGAACUCUAUCACACACAG
RNAcentral lists this ribosomal RNA (774 nucleotides) under uncultured Neocallimastigales. RNAcentral describes it as "partial large subunit ribosomal RNA". It matches the Rfam family "Eukaryotic large subunit ribosomal RNA", at positions 22 to 621 of the family's 3401-position model. Lineage: Eukaryota; Fungi; Neocallimastigomycota; Neocallimastigomycetes; Neocallimastigales. The record is from RNAcentral.